GAUUGACCUCGGAUCAGGUAGGGAUACCCGCUGAACUUAAGCAUAUCAAUAAGCGGAGGAAAAGAAACCAACAGGGAUUGCCUCAGUAACGGCGAGUGAAGCGGCAACAGCUCAAAUUUGAAAUCUGGUCCUUUCAGGGCCCGAGUUGUAAUUUGUAGAGGAUGUUUCGGGUGCGGCGCGGGUCUAAGUCCUUUGGAACAGGGCGUCAUAGAGGGUGAGAAUCCCGUAUGUGACCCGUGAUCAAGCCCAUGUGAAACCCCUUCGACGAGUCGAGUUGUUUGGGAAUGCAGCUCAAAAUGGGUGGUAAAUUUCAUCUAAAGCUAAAUACCGGCCAGAGACCGAUAGCGCACAAGUAGAGUGAUCGAAAGAUGAAAAGCACUUUGGAAAGAGAGUCAAAAAGUACGUGAAAUUGUUGAAAGGGAAGCGCUUGCAACCAGACCUGUCCGCAGGCGAUCAACUCCCGUUCUCGGGGGUGCACUCGUCUGUGAUCAGGCCAGCAUCGGUUCGGGCGGUCGGAUAAAGGCCUUGGGAAUGUAGCUCCUUCCGGGGAGUGUUAUAGCCCUCGGUGUAAUGCGACCAGCCCGGACCGAGGACCGCGCCUUCGGGCUAGGAUGCUGGCGUAAUGGUUGUAAGCGACCCGUCUUGAAACACGGACCAAGGAGUCUAACAUCUAUGCGAGUGUUUGGGUGUCAAACCCAUACGCGUAAUGAAAGUGAACGGAGGUGAGAACCCUUAAGGGCGCAUCAUCGACCGAUCCAGAUGUCUUCGGAUGGAUUUGAGUAUGAGCAUAGCUGUUGGGACCCGAAAGAUGGUGAACUAUGCCUGAAUAGGGUGAAGCCAGGGGAAACCCUGGUGGAGGCUCGCAGCGGUUCUGACGUGCAAAUCGAUCGUCAAAUUUGGGUAUAGGGGCGAAAGACUAAUCGAACCAUCUAGUAGCUGGUUCCUGCC
RNAcentral lists this ribosomal RNA (948 nucleotides) under Cladonia pyxidata. Its description in RNAcentral is "eukaryotic LSU rRNA". It matches the Rfam family "Eukaryotic large subunit ribosomal RNA", at positions 1 to 962 of the family's 3401-position model. The record is from RNAcentral. Lineage: Eukaryota; Fungi; Ascomycota; Lecanoromycetes; Lecanorales; Cladoniaceae.